UUGUCAUCACCUGGGCUUUAUGACUCUAGGUCAAGACAUCAGAGCACUAAAGCUUCUAAUGCAGUAGUAGUCAGGCUGGAAUCUGGGUGGCAUAUGUGACAAAGCAAGUGCACUAUGCAGGUGAGCUAUCUUGCCAGCCCUCGUGUUUUUGUUUGUUUAAGAUUUAUUAACAUGAGAGAACUAGAGCAUCACUAGCAUAGUGCUAUCCAAUUUGGGACCUCAUGCACCUAUGUCCAGUUCUCUACCCACUAUGCCACCCACAUCUUGGGCUGUAUCAUGUUUUUAUUUACUUGGCAGAGAUCUAGAGUUCCCCCAGCCACUCAGGUGAUUCCUAUACUUCUGGGAGCCAGGUUGUGCCUAACUUACACAUAUACACAGACCCCGUGCACACAUACCCCUCCUAAGGCAUGAAUGUUGCUGGGCCAGGGUCUGGGUGUGACCCUGGCAUUUGCUCUUGUGGGGCUUUCCCACCUCCAGGAAGUCUGUUGGUACAGGUUGUCUGGGCCUUCUAGACCAAAAGUCUGGGGAAAUCACCACACAGCCACAUGGUCUAGGCCAGGGCAGCCUGAACAGGAAGGGGGGGAUGCGGCCUUAGCCACAGGGCAGUGUGACUUCCCCCAGCUGCUUUGAGCUUGGUCAAGAUGGAGGCCAGACUGAAGAAAAUAUUUCCACAUGAUGUUGUAGCCCAGCUUCAGUCACCAGGUUCCAGAUGUCAUCAGGAUGCCGGCCAGGCUUCCCUGGACGGAAGAUCCCACCAAUGUGUCCUGGAGCUCAGCUUCCCCAGAGACCCACCCUACUAGGGAAAGAGAGAGGCAGACUGGGAGUAUGGACCGACCAGUCAACGUCCAUGUUCAGCGGGGAAGCAAUUACAGAAGCCAGACCUUCUACCUUCUGCAACCCACAAUGACCCUGAGUCCAUGCUCCCAGAGGGAUAGAGAAUGGGAAAGCUAUCAGGGGAGGGGGUGGGAUAUGGAGAUUCGGUGGUGGGAAUUGUGUGGAGUUGUACCCCUCCUACCCUAUGGUUUUGUUAAUCCUUUCUUAAAUAAAAAAGAAAAAAAAAUUUUGCAGGCAGAAACAUUUGGAGAGAGCUAUCCACAGAUGAAACCAGGUCAACUGAAGCCACUUUUCUACUUUAGCUUCAGAAUAAACCAGUGGAUUCUGGUUUUGUUUAA
This is a long non-coding RNA of Erinaceus europaeus (western European hedgehog), 1172 nucleotides long. RefSeq lists it as uncharacterized. The transcript is spliced from 2 exons. The record is from RefSeq and is a predicted model, not a curated record. Lineage: Eukaryota; Metazoa; Chordata; Mammalia; Eulipotyphla; Erinaceidae.